GCCAGGCAUGGUGGUGCAUGCCUGUAAUCCCAGCUACUAGGGAGGCUGAGGCAGGAGAAUUGCUUGAAACCAGGAGGCGGAGAUUGCAGUAAGCUGAGAUCACAUCACUGCACUCCCGCCUGGGCAACAGAGCGAGACUCUGUCUCAA
RNAcentral lists this non-coding RNA (148 nucleotides) under Nomascus leucogenys (northern white-cheeked gibbon). Lineage: Eukaryota; Metazoa; Chordata; Mammalia; Primates; Hylobatidae. The record is from Rfam by way of RNAcentral.